AGUGAACGCUGGCGGUAGGCCUAACACAUGCAAGUCGAACGGCAGCACAGUAAGAGCUUGCUCUUACGGGUGGCGAGUGGCGGACGGGUGAGGAAUACAUCGGAAUCUACUUUUUCGUGGGGGAUAACGUAGGGAAACUUACGCUAAUACCGCAUACGACCUACGGGUGAAAGCAGGGGAUCUUCGGACCUUGCGCGAUUGAAUGAGCCGAUGUCGGAUUAGCUAGUUGGCGGGGUAAAGGCCCACCAAGGCAACGAUGCAUAGCCGACCUGAGAGGGUGAUCGGCCACACUGGAACUGAGACACGGUCCAGACUCCUACGGGAGGCAGCAGUAGGGAAUCUUCCGCAAUGGGCGAAAGCCUGACGGAGCAACGCCGCGUGAGUGAUGAAGGUCUUCGGAUCGUAAAACUCUGUUAUUAGGGAAGAACAUAUGUGUAAGUAACUGUGCACAUCUUGACGGUACCUAAUCAGAAAGCCACGGCUAACUACGUG
This 492-nucleotide ribosomal RNA is filed under the name uncultured bacterium. Its description in RNAcentral is "partial 16S ribosomal RNA". It matches the Rfam family "Bacterial small subunit ribosomal RNA", at positions 29 to 507 of the family's 1533-position model. The record is from RNAcentral.